GUGGAAGUCUCCUUGUGCAUGACACUGGACCUCAUAUUGCUCCUGGUAGUUAAAGGUUGGUGUUAGUGUUCGGCAGGAGAGCUGUGUGUGUGUACGGUUGGACGGGACUGUUGCUGUAAAACAGUUUCAAGGAAGGUAUCCGGUAUGGAGGGACACAAGGAUGAAUGGCAUCAGCAUUUUUCUAGUAUGUACCAACGGAGCAGCACUCAACAGGCUGUCCCCAGGUAUGAUGAAUCCACCGAUCAGAGACUCGGCCUCCUGAGGCCAGCAAGAGGAACCCAUGAACCAGAAAGGGCAGAGACACAAUAGCAUCCACUCCUCUGAAGUGUUGCUGAAAACAUUUUAUCCAUCACAGCCGCUAGCGAGGCCCUCAACUCUGCAAGGAGUGGAAAGCAAUAAGAGGAUGACCCACUUUCUGUGCUUGGCCAGGCUUGUGCUGCUGCUGUCUGCCGUGCUGUGCUGCUAAAGGGGGGAGAUCCCUGCAGACUCCAGGAGAACAGGCUCUCUCCUCCUGACAGACACUCCUCGCCGUGGCGUGUUAUCCCCCCGGUGGACGGGAGACCCUCUG
RNAcentral lists this long non-coding RNA (568 nucleotides) under Oryzias javanicus (javanese ricefish). Its description in RNAcentral is "lncRNA (ENSOJAG00000017452.1)". The record is from RNAcentral. Lineage: Eukaryota; Metazoa; Chordata; Actinopteri; Beloniformes; Adrianichthyidae.